UGCGUAGGCGGAAUAUUAAGUCAGUGGUGAAAUCCUGCGGCUCAACCGUAGAACUGCGAUUGAUACUGAUAUUCUUGAAUGUAGUUGAGGUAGGCGGAAUGUGUAAUGUAGCGGUGAAAUGCUUAGAUAUUACACAGAACACCGAUUGCGAAGGCAGCUUACUAAACUAUGAUUGACGCUGAUGCACGAAAGCGUGGGGAGCGAACAGGAUUAGAUACCCUGGUAGUCC
Molecule: ribosomal RNA, 229 nt
Filed under: uncultured bacterium
Lineage: Bacteria
Description: partial 16S ribosomal RNA
Rfam family: Bacterial small subunit ribosomal RNA
Source: RNAcentral